UACAGAGGUGGCAAGCGUUGUUCGGAAUUACUGGGCGUAAAGGGCGCGUAGGCGGUCUUUUAAGUCUUGUGUGAAAUCCCUCGGCUCAACUGAGGAACUGCACGGGAUACUGGAAGACUUGAGUUCGGGAGAGGGAAGCGGAAUUCCGGGUGUAGCGGUGAAAUGCGUAGAUAUCGUAAGGAAGACCAGUGGCGAAGGCGGGUCUCUGGACAGUUCCUGACGCUGAGGCACGAAGGUCAGGGGAGCAAACGGG
This 253-nucleotide ribosomal RNA is filed under the name uncultured bacterium. RNAcentral describes it as "partial 16S ribosomal RNA". It matches the Rfam family "Bacterial small subunit ribosomal RNA", at positions 524 to 776 of the family's 1533-position model. The record is from RNAcentral.